GUAGGUGAACCUGCGGAAGGAUCAUUACCGAGUUAGGGUCUUUCAGGCCCGACCUCCAACCCUUUGUUUAAACUACCAUGUUGCUUUGGCGGGCCCGUCUUUCGGGACCGCCGGGGGUCUUACGACCCCUGGCCAGUGCUCGCCAGUAGCCUUCUCAAACUCUUUUUAACUAUGUUGUCUGAGUAUAAAUAUAAAUCGUUAAAACUUUCAACAACGGAUCUCUUGGUUCUG
This 231-nucleotide unclassified non-coding RNA is filed under the name rhizosphere metagenome. Its description in RNAcentral is "partial ribosomal RNA internal transcribed spacer region". The record is from RNAcentral.